RNAcentral lists this ribosomal RNA (383 nucleotides) under uncultured organism. Its description in RNAcentral is "bacterial SSU rRNA". It matches the Rfam family "Bacterial small subunit ribosomal RNA", at positions 45 to 433 of the family's 1533-position model. The record is from RNAcentral.
UGCCUAACACAUGCAAGUCGAACGGGAUCCGGACUUCGGUUCGGUGAGAGUGGCGGACGGGUGAGUAACGCGUGGGAACCUGCCCAUUGGUCUGGGAUAACUGCGGGAAACUGCAGCUAAUACCGGAUGUACCCCCCUGGUCAAACGGGGAGGGGAAAGAUUUAUCGCCGAUGGAGGGGCCCGCGUCAGAUUAGGUAGUUGGUGAGGUAACGGCUCACCAAGCCUACGAUCUGUAGCUGGUCUGAGAGGAUGAUCAGCCACACUGGGACUGAGAUACGGCCCAGACUCCUACGGGAGGCAGCAGUGGGGAAUAUUGGACAAUGGGGGCAACCCUGAUCCAGCAAUGCCGCGUGAGUGAUGAAGGCCUUAGGGUUGUAAAGCUC